RNAcentral lists this ribosomal RNA (215 nucleotides) under Glomeromycotina sp. Its description in RNAcentral is "partial small subunit ribosomal RNA". The record is from RNAcentral. Lineage: Eukaryota; Fungi; Glomeromycota.
GGGUCAGUAGGUUGGUCGUGCCACCGGUACGUACUGGUCUCACUGAUUCCUCCUUCCUGAAGAACCGUAAUGCCAUUAAUUUGGUGUUGCGGGGAAACAGGACUGUUACUUUGAAAAGAUUAGAGUGUUUAAAGCAAGCUAACGCUUGAAUACAUUAGCAUGGAUAAUGAAAUAGGACGAUCGAUCCUAUUUUGUUGGUUUCUAGGAUUGACGUA